This 469-nucleotide ribosomal RNA is filed under the name Rothia aeria. RNAcentral describes it as "bacterial SSU rRNA". It matches the Rfam family "Bacterial small subunit ribosomal RNA", at positions 27 to 504 of the family's 1533-position model. Lineage: Bacteria; Bacillati; Actinomycetota; Actinomycetes; Micrococcales; Micrococcaceae. The record is from RNAcentral.
GGACGAACGCUGGCGGCGUGCUUAACACAUGCAAGUCGAACGAUGAAGCGGUGCUUGCACCGUGGAUUAGUGGCGAACGGGUGAGUAAUACGUGAGUGACCUACCUUUGACUCUGGGAUAAGCCUGGGAAACUGGGUCUAAUACCGGAUACGACCAAUCUCUGCAUGGGGUGUUGGUGGAAAGCGUUAUGGAGUGGUUUUAGAUGGGCUCACGGCCUAUCAGCUUGUUGGUGAGGUAAUGGCUUACCAAGGCGACGACGGGUAGCCGGCCUGAGAGGGUGACCGGCCACACUGGGACUGAGACACGGCCCAGACUCCUACGGGAGGCAGCAGUGGGGAAUAUUGCACAAUGGGCGCAAGCCUGAUGCAGCGACGCCGCGUGAGGGAUGACGGCCUUCGGGUUGUAAACCUCUGUUAGCAUCGAAGAAGCGAAAGUGACGGUAGGUGCAGAGAAAGCGCCGGCUAACUAC